This 761-nucleotide ribosomal RNA is filed under the name uncultured actinomycete. Its description in RNAcentral is "bacterial SSU rRNA". It matches the Rfam family "Bacterial small subunit ribosomal RNA", at positions 631 to 1392 of the family's 1533-position model. The record is from RNAcentral. Lineage: Bacteria; Bacillati; Actinomycetota; Actinomycetes; Actinomycetales.
UACGGGCAGACUAGAGUACUGCAGGGGAGACUGGAAUUCCUGGUGUAGCGGUGGAAUGCGCAGAUAUCAGGAGGAACACCGGUGGCGAAGGCGGGUCUCUGGGCAGUAACUGACGCUGAGGAGCGAAAGCGUGGGGAGCGAACAGGAUUAGAUACCCUGGUAGUCCACGCCGUAAACGGUGGGUACUAGGUGUGGGUUCUUUCCUGAGGAUCCGUGCCGUAGCUAACGCAUUAAGUACCCCGCCUGGGGAGUACGGCCGCAAGGCUAAAACUCAAAGGAAUUGACGGGGGCCCGCACAAGCGGCGGAGCAUGUGGAUUAAUUCGAUGCAACGCGAAGAACCUUACCUGGGCUUGACAUGCACUGGAUCGCCGUAGAGAUACGGUUUUCUUCGGACUGGUGUACAGGUGGUGCAUGGCUGCCGUCAGCUCGUGUCGUGAGAUGUUGGGUUAAGUCCCGCAACGAGCGCAACCCUUGUCCUGCGUUGCCAGCACGUAAUGGUGGGGACUCGUGGGAGACUGCCGGGGUCAACUCGGAGGAAGGUGGGGAUGACGUCAAGUCAUCAUGCCCCUUAUGUCCAGGGCUUCACACAUGCUACAAUGGCUGGUACAGAGGGUGGCGAUACCGUGAGGUGGAGCGAAUCCCUUAAAGCUGGUCUCAGUUCGGAUCGUAGUCUGCAACUCGACUGCGUGAAGUCGGAGUCGCUAGUAAUCGCAGAUCAGCAACGCUGCGGUGAAUACGUUCCCGGGCCUUGUACACACCG